RNAcentral lists this ribosomal RNA (333 nucleotides) under Triticum aestivum (bread wheat). Its description in RNAcentral is "partial small subunit ribosomal RNA". The record is from RNAcentral. Lineage: Eukaryota; Viridiplantae; Streptophyta; Magnoliopsida; Poales; Poaceae.
AUGUUCACCUUCAUACUAUGUUCCGAUGCAUCUUGUUAUUUUGUACUAUUCUCGUAUUUUUAUCACAUGUUAUGCUCGAUAGUAGUAGUCCAUGCUGGUAGCAGUGGUGUUCUUUUUGGUGCAUGUUUACCGUCUGUUAUCAAGCACCGUUGCAAUGCAUGUUACUUUGUAUCCAGUUGGUUAUAUGCUUACUUGGUAGAAUUCUGGUUAAGUUCUUACGUGGUAUCUAUUUAUGAUGCUAGUGGUCAGGCUAUGCUCAUGUGUAGUGCUAUGAUCAUGAUCGUCAGUAUGCCAUGCUUAGUUGGAUAUAUGUUUCAUUGUUGUUAUGCUUGA